Pristis pectinata (smalltooth sawfish) is the source of this 212-nucleotide small nucleolar RNA. RefSeq annotates it as small nucleolar RNA SNORA73 family. The record is from RefSeq and is a predicted model, not a curated record. NCBI's taxonomy places the organism in Eukaryota, Metazoa, Chordata, Chondrichthyes, Rhinopristiformes, Pristidae. The transcript has a single exon.
CCAAUGUGGACAUCCAGCAAGUUCGCUCUUGUCUGGCUCUGUUCAUGUGGCAUGUGGGAGCGUAGACCUUUGGUCUGUGACGUACAGUCCUGUUCCACGACAUUGGAGAGCAAGUGUCCCCAGCUUUUAAGCUGGUGAGGACUGCAUCUUGUAUAUUCCUAGGCCUUCUCUGUCUGCAGUGACUGAGGAGAUAAACCAUGCACGAUACAGUA